Molecule: ribosomal RNA, 259 nt
Filed under: Nematodiroides zembrae
Lineage: Eukaryota; Metazoa; Nematoda; Chromadorea; Rhabditida; Molineidae
Description: partial 28S ribosomal RNA
Source: RNAcentral
UCAAGAGAACGUGAAAUCGCUGGAGUGGAACCGGAGAGAGUUGACGUAGCCGGGUAACUAAGUUUACCGAUCUCGCUUAACUGUGAGUUAGGUGAAUGUAUGUUGCCUAUGGCUGCGCUGACAGCGCUGGCUGUGCGUUCCGAACCGAUCUCGUUGCCCACCGCUCCGGCGGUGGUGUCUUGUCUUCGGAUAGGUUUGUCGUGGCUAGCGUUUUAUCCUGCUUGCAGGGUGUCAGUGUGAAAGUCGACCACCUCUCCGA